GAUGAACGCUAGCUACAGGCUUAACACAUGCAAGUCGAGGGGCAGCAUGGUCUUAGCUUGCUAAGACUGAUGGCGACCGGCGCACGGGUGAGUAACACGUAUCCAACCUGCCGUCUACUCUUGGACAGCCUUCUGAAAAGGAAGAUUAAUACAAGAUGGCAUCAUGAGUCCGCAUGUUCACAUGAUUAAAGGUAUUCCGGUAGACGAUGGGGAUGCGUUCCAUUAGAUAGUAGCGGGGUAACGGCCCACCUAGUCUUCGAUGGAUAGGGGUUCUGAGAGGAAGGUCCCCCCACAUUGGAACUGAGACACGGUCCAAACUCCUACGGAGGCAGCAGUGAGGAAUAUUGGUCAAUGGACGAGAGUACUGAACCAAGCCAAGUAAGCGUGCAGGAAAGAACGGGCCCCCUUAAU
RNAcentral lists this ribosomal RNA (411 nucleotides) under uncultured bacterium. RNAcentral's name for it is "bacterial SSU rRNA". It matches the Rfam family "Bacterial small subunit ribosomal RNA", at positions 28 to 426 of the family's 1533-position model. The record is from RNAcentral.